This 24-nucleotide non-coding RNA is filed under the name Arabidopsis thaliana (thale cress). Lineage: Eukaryota; Viridiplantae; Streptophyta; Magnoliopsida; Brassicales; Brassicaceae. The record is from RNAcentral.
GUCGAAUACGUUGACCUCAUGAGU